UACGUAGGGUGCGAGCGUUGUCCGGAAUUAUUGGGCGUAAAGGGCUCGUAGGCGGUUUGUCGCGUCGGGAGUGAAAAUCCAGGGCUUAACUCUGGACUGGCUUCCGAUACGGGCAGACUAGAGGUGUGCAGGGGAGAACGGAAUUCCUGGUGUAGCGGUGAAAUGCGUAGAUAUCUGGAGGAAUACCGGUGGCGAAGGCGGCAUCCUGGACCGACAUUGACGCUGAUGAGCGAAAGCUAGGGGAGCAAACGGG
Molecule: ribosomal RNA, 253 nt
Filed under: uncultured bacterium
Lineage: Bacteria
Description: partial 16S ribosomal RNA
Rfam family: Bacterial small subunit ribosomal RNA
Source: RNAcentral